This 263-nucleotide long non-coding RNA is filed under the name Elaeis guineensis (African oil palm). RNAcentral's name for it is "long non-coding RNA (EGUI_LNC024034)". The record is from RNAcentral. Lineage: Eukaryota; Viridiplantae; Streptophyta; Magnoliopsida; Arecales; Arecaceae.
GGUGCCAUUCCUGCAUUUCUUAUUACUUGAGAAUAUGGGCUUUGAUAACAAAAAAUUGAGAACCAGCUGGAUCAAUUCCUAUCGGUCAAAAUUUAAUAAAAAUAUGAAGUUUGAAUUAGAAUGUAAUGUCAUAUGAUUGGUUAAUUGUCAUCGUUGGAAGCUAUCUCCUUGCCAUCACCAUAAAGUUGGAUAUAAAGCGGCAAUUUUGAGGCUUAGAAGGAGUUUAGUGUGAAUGGAACGUGAGAAAUUCUUUGUGCACCACG